Molecule: microRNA precursor, 61 nt
Filed under: Saccoglossus kowalevskii
Lineage: Eukaryota; Metazoa; Hemichordata; Enteropneusta; Harrimaniidae
Description: Sko-Mir-4830-P2_pre stem-loop
Source: RNAcentral
UCUCUUGAGUGCCAUAUGGAGGACAAAAGCGUUCUAUUUCUCCUUAUGCACCCCAGAGACA